This 1002-nucleotide ribosomal RNA is filed under the name Triticum aestivum (bread wheat). RNAcentral describes it as "partial small subunit ribosomal RNA". The record is from RNAcentral. Lineage: Eukaryota; Viridiplantae; Streptophyta; Magnoliopsida; Poales; Poaceae.
AUGGUACGGAAUUUCUGGUGGGGCUCGGCGGAGGGCAAGAGGAAAACGCAUUGGUUGGCAUGGCCGAAAAUUUUAGCACAUAAGACCAAGGGAGGCUUGGGCUUCAAAGAUUUCCGUCUCUUCAACCAAGCUCUCCUUGCUCGACAGGCGUGGCACCUCUUAAUUAAGCUUAACAGUCUGUGUGCGCAGGUACUAAAAGCUCGGUACUAUCCAGAUGGUCGCCUUGAGGAUACAGUGUUCUCCGGGAACGCAUCCUCGACCUGGCAGGCCAUACAGUAUGGCCUCGAGGUCUUGAAAAAGGGCAUCAUAUGGCGUGUUGGAGAUGGCCAAAACAUCCGGAUAUGGCGUGACCGAUGGGUGCCGAGGGAACCCUCGCGCCAACCUAUCAUGCGGCAAGGCACCUGCCGGCUGAGGAGAGUGGCGGAGCUUCUCGCGGCGGAUGGGUCCUGGCGUAUGGAUCUUCUCUGCCGACACUUCCUCCCGGCGGACGUCGAUGCGAUAUCCAACAUUCGCACCUCGCCCCGCUGCACUGAUGACAUCAUCGCCUGGGCGCCGGAGAAGAACGGUAUCUUCACCGUUCGUUCCGCCUAUCGGUUUGCCAUGGACGAGUGCGAGCGUCCAUUGGCCACCGCCAUGAGCAGGGCACCGGAUGGUCGUCGCGCCAUCUGGAAGACCAUAUGGGGGUGCCCUGCUCCCCCGAAGGUACGCGUGUUUGCUUGGCGGAUUGUGACCAACUCUCUAGCUACUUGGGCAAAUAAAUUCUCACGUCAUCUUGAGCUUUCUGACAUAUGCCCCAUUUGUGGUGUGGAACGAGAGGAUGGGUUCUAUGCGAUGUGCAGGUGCCCCCUUGCGAAGGAACUUUGGCAUGCCAUGGCGCUAGAUUGGGUCAUCCCGAGGGUUGAAUCCGUUCGCAACACGGGGCCAGAAUGGUUGUUCACCCUCCUUGAGCCUUUGGACGAGACGGCGCGUAUGAUCGUACGGAUGAUCAUGUGGAGGACUUAG